RNAcentral lists this long non-coding RNA (1071 nucleotides) under Pogona vitticeps (central bearded dragon). Its description in RNAcentral is "lncRNA (ENSPVIG00000016000.1)". The record is from RNAcentral. Lineage: Eukaryota; Metazoa; Chordata; Lepidosauria; Squamata; Agamidae.
ACAGCUAUCUCUUUGAUACCUUAUUGCUUGUGAAAAAGAGAGGCAUAAGAUAAUGCAAAAGAGAAAAUGGUUGUUGUGGGUUUUUCGGGUUCUUUGGCCCUAGCAAAAGAGAAAACCUUACAGCAAUCUGAGGUCCUAGCAGAAUGCAGUGAUGGGUGGGGAAUGAGAGCAGAGAUGAAUUCGAAAUGGGGUUGCUGGAUGGGUCCAUAGCUUGAUCCGGUUUCUCUACCUUUGAAGACUCUGAAUUAAAGGCAAAUUCUACCAAAUCCAAGUUCUCCUUUCGCUACAGUGCUAAGAAGGGACAACUCAACCCAGGCAAAUGCGCCUCUCUUUGCCAUUUCUAGAAGCAACAGAAUCGACUCAGGAGCCAGAUUUAGCAACACUAAAAUGAAACAGGAGGGCACCCAGGAAGCUGGGGUGGGGGGGGAGGAGAUUAUAGGGCAAAAACUCGCAAGCAAAAGUAAAGUAAUGAGUUUUUUAAAAAAAAGAAGAAAGGGAUGCGUUUGCAGAUGGAAAAGCGGAAUGAAAACAGGGGCAAAUUAAUUUUUAAAAGAUGGAGGGAGGAGUGCAUGGAGCUGUGGAAAAGGGCGCCUGAUGCUCUGGAGCAACGAACUGCUGCUGAACUUGGGAGAAUUAGUCCCGUUUUAAAUGCAUGGCGCAGUCGGGCGUGGUUGAGAAGGGGAAGGGGAAGGGGAGGGGGGUUCCGUGAUUCCGCCAGAAAACGAGAAGGUGGCGUUUUCUUUACUGUUGACACUGCAUUUGGUGAAGGCGGACGAGAAGGGAAUGAGAUGCAUUUACGGUGCCGGGAGUUGAAGUUCGGGGUAGCUGCAUUCACAGGACGAAGUUUUGCGUGUCUACUCGGAAGUCUUCCACCACCACCCAGCUCCAGUUCAAGUGUGGCGGUAAGAUUACUGUACAGACCUACACGGAGUAGCAUUUAUGAAACGUGAUUUGUAAAAAUACAUUGAAGGGAAAUAUUGCAUUAAAUAAGUCAACAGCAAAACAUUCUUCCUCGUCCACGCAUUUUUUUUCUUCAAUAAAAAGAUGUCCCACGCGUCUUGGGAAAUGUGC